GACGAACGCUGGCGGCGUGCUUAACACAUGCAAGUCGAACGGUAAGGCCCUUCGGGGUACACGAGUGGCGAACGGGUGAGUAACACGUGGGUGAUCUGCCCUGCACUUCGGGAUAAGCCUGGGAAACUGGGUCUAAUACCGGAUAGGACCACUGCCUGCAUGGGUGGUGGUGGAAAGCUUUUGCGGUGUGGGAUGGGGCCGGGGCCUAUCAGCUUGUUGGUGGGGUGAUGGCCUACCAAGGCGACGACGGGUAGCCGGCCGGAGAGGGUGACCGGCCACGCUGGGGCUGGGAUACGGCCCAGACUCCUACGGGAGGCAGCAGUGGGGAAUAUUGCACAAUGGGCGCAAGCCUGAUGCAGCGACGCCGCGUGAGGGAUGACGGCCUUCGGGUCGUAAACCUCUUUCAGCACCGACGAAGCGCAAGUGACGGUAGGUGCAGAAGAAGGACCGGCCAACUACGUGCCAGCCGCCGCCGUAA
RNAcentral lists this ribosomal RNA (478 nucleotides) under uncultured bacterium. RNAcentral's name for it is "partial 16S ribosomal RNA". It matches the Rfam family "Bacterial small subunit ribosomal RNA", at positions 28 to 523 of the family's 1533-position model. The record is from RNAcentral.